AUUGAACGCUGGCGGCAUGCCUAACACAUGCAAGUCGAGCGGAUGAAGGGAACUCGCGCCUGUAUGCAGCUGCGGACGGGCGAGUAAGUCACACGAAUCUGCCUUGCCUUUGGGGCUAACGUCCGGACACGGGCGCUGAGAUCGCAUAGGUCCAGAUUUUGAACGGGAGGGAUCUUCGGACAUCACGCUACUAGAUGAGCCUAGGUCGUAUUAGCUAGUUGGUGUGGUAAGGGCGUACCAAGGCGACGAACCGUAGCUGGGCUGAGAGGAUGAUCAGCCACACUGGAACUGAGACACGGUCCAGACUCCUACGGGAGGCAGCAGUGGGGAAUAUUCGACAAUGGGCGAAAGCCUGAUCCAGCCAUGCCGCGUGUGUGAAGAAGGUCUUCGGAUCGUAAAGCACUUUAAGUUGGGAGGAAGAGCAGUAAGUUAAUCCCUUGCUAUCUUGACGUUACCAACAGAAUAAGCACCGGCUAACUUCGUG
RNAcentral lists this ribosomal RNA (484 nucleotides) under uncultured bacterium. RNAcentral describes it as "partial 16S ribosomal RNA". It matches the Rfam family "Bacterial small subunit ribosomal RNA", at positions 30 to 507 of the family's 1533-position model. The record is from RNAcentral.